AACGCGGAGCGGCAGGCCUAACACAUGCAGUCGAGCGGAUGAAGGGAGCUUGCUCCUGGAUUCAGCGGCGGACGGGUGAGUAAUGCCUAGGAAUCUGCCUGGUAGUGGGGGAUAACGUCCGGAAACGGGCGCUAAUACCGCAUACGUCCUGAGGGAGAAAGUGGGGGAUCUUCGGACCUCACGCUAUCAGAUGAGCCUAGGUCGGAUUAGCUAGUUGGUGGGGUAAAGGCCUACCAAGGCGACGAUCCGUAACUGGUCUGAGAGGAUGAUCAGUCACACUGGAACUGAGACACGGUCCAGACUCCUACGGGAGGCAGCAGUGGGGAAUAUUGGACAAUGGGCGAAAGCCUGAUCCAGCCAUGCCGCGUGUGUGAAGAAGGUCUUCGGAUUGUAAAGCACUUUAAGUUGGGAGGAAGGGCAGUAAGUUAAUACCUUGCUGUUGUGACGUUACCAACAGAAUAAGCACCGGCUAACUUCGUGCCAGCAGCCGCGGUAAUACGAAGGGUGCAAGCGUUAAUCGGAAUUACUGGGCGUAAAGCGCGCGUAGGUGGUUCAGCAAGUUGGAUGUGAAAUCCCCGGGCUCAACCUGGGAACUGCAUCCAAAACUACUGAGCUAGAGUACGGUAGAGGGUGGUGGAAUUUCCUGUGUAGCGGUGAAAUGCGUAGAUAUAGGAAGGAACACCAGUGGCGAAGGCGACCACCUGGACUGAUACUGACACUGAGGUGCGAAAGCGUGGGGAGCAAACAGGAUUA
Molecule: ribosomal RNA, 753 nt
Filed under: Pseudomonas aeruginosa
Lineage: Bacteria; Pseudomonadati; Pseudomonadota; Gammaproteobacteria; Pseudomonadales; Pseudomonadaceae
Description: bacterial SSU rRNA
Rfam family: Bacterial small subunit ribosomal RNA
Source: RNAcentral